This 498-nucleotide ribosomal RNA is filed under the name uncultured bacterium. RNAcentral's name for it is "partial 16S ribosomal RNA". It matches the Rfam family "Bacterial small subunit ribosomal RNA", at positions 28 to 507 of the family's 1533-position model. The record is from RNAcentral.
GACGAACGCUGGCGGCGUGCCUAAUACAUGCAAGUCGAGCGGACGAAUCGAAAGCUUGCUUUUGAUUCGUUAGCGGCGGACGGGUGAGUAACACGUGGGCAACCUGCCCUGUAGACGGGGAUAACACCGAGAAAUCGGUGCUAAUACCGGAUAACACGAAAUGUCGCAUGACGUUUCGUUGAAAGACGGCGCAAGCUGCCGCUACAGGCUGGGCCCCCGGCGCAUUAGCUAGUUGGUGAGGUAAAGGCCCACCAAGGCGACGAUACGGAGCCGAUCUGAGAGGAGGGGCAGCGACACUGGGACGGAGACACGGCCGAGACGACUACGGGAGGCAGAAGGGGGGAAGUGUGGAAAAGGGGCGAAAGUCGGAGAGAGCAAUGCCGAGGGAGUGAAGAAGGCGUUCGGGGUGGAAAGCACGGUUGGCCGGAAAGAAAUACGUGGCUCUAAUACAGGCGGGGGAUGACGGUACAGGAAGAAUAAGCACCGGCUAACUACGUG